GGUAGGCGUCGUGUCCCUCUGGAUUGUUCUUCCGUUCCAGAAAGGUGUGUGUCCCCGGUUUUUAUCUCGUGCCGAUGCCACAUAUGUGAGGAUUUGCAAUUUUUUGAGUGGAAUUUGCAUAGGAAGACCUGUUUGAUAUUUUUCUGUCUCUUUUCUAGUGUAAGGUUGUCUAGAAGAGAAGAAAUAGGCGGCGUGAAAAUGAUGGUGGUUUUGAGACAAUUACGGCCAGCCGUCAGUCACCUGUGGCGGAAGGCAGCGAGGUGUGGCGACCGUCUGGACUCCGGAGGAAGUGGAGGACAGUGUUGAAACAGUGUAGUCCUCAAACGAGUGUUGUGGGUUGAUAGGUUUGGUAUGGCAUCAUCAACUUAUUUGUUACUGAUGAUGGUUCCUCAUACAAGCAGUUCGCGUAGAAUUAAGGAAUCAGACAUGUCAUGGGUUCGAACGAAGGGGGAAUUUUACGAUACAUAUUUUUCCUUUGAAUUGCGUCAUCGCCGCUCGAGUACAUAAGUUGCUUCAUAUGCGGUGACCGUUUAGGCGUAUGGCCUGUCAACUUUCUGCUGCGAUGAUAUGCAACAAUAUCCGUGUGCGAUAAUCAUGCUAUGAGGAGCAAUAUAUCUGUUGGAAGCU
Molecule: long non-coding RNA, 627 nt
Organism: Amphibalanus amphitrite
Lineage: Eukaryota; Metazoa; Arthropoda; Thecostraca; Balanomorpha; Balanidae
Exons: 2
Source: RefSeq, a predicted model, not a curated record